GUGGGGAAUAUUGGGCAAUGGGCGCAAGCCUGACCCAGCAACGCCGCGUGAAGGAAGAAGGCUUUCGGGUUGUAAACUUCUUUGACAGGGGACGAAACAAAUGACGGUACCCUGAAAACAAGCCACGGCUAACUACGUGCCAGCAGCCGCGGUAAUACGUAGGUGGCAAGCGUUAUCCGGAUUUACUGGGUGUAAAGGGCGUGUAGGCGGGAUUACAAGUCAGAUGUGAAAACUAUGGGCUCAACCCAUAGCCUGCAUUUGAAACUGUAGUUCUUGAGUGAUGGAGAGGCAGACGGAAUUCCUCGUGUAGCGGUGAAAUGCGUAGAUAUGAGGAGGAACACCAGUGGCGAAGGCGGUCUGCUGGACAUUAACUGACGCUGAGGCGCGAAAGCGUGGGGAGCAAACAGGAUUAGAUACCCUAGUAGUCC
This 428-nucleotide ribosomal RNA is filed under the name uncultured bacterium. RNAcentral describes it as "partial 16S ribosomal RNA". It matches the Rfam family "Bacterial small subunit ribosomal RNA", at positions 354 to 796 of the family's 1533-position model. The record is from RNAcentral.